GUACACACCGCCCGUCACACCAUGGGAGUCGGGAACGCCCGAAGUCGGUGCCCCAACCGUAAGGAGGGAGCCGCCGAAGGCGGGCCCGGCGACUGGGGUGAAGUCGUAACAAGGUACC
RNAcentral lists this ribosomal RNA (118 nucleotides) under uncultured bacterium. RNAcentral's name for it is "partial 16S ribosomal RNA". It matches the Rfam family "Bacterial small subunit ribosomal RNA", at positions 1383 to 1500 of the family's 1533-position model. The record is from RNAcentral.